This 1265-nucleotide ribosomal RNA is filed under the name Bacillus sp. (in: firmicutes). RNAcentral's name for it is "bacterial SSU rRNA". It matches the Rfam family "Bacterial small subunit ribosomal RNA", at positions 194 to 1446 of the family's 1533-position model. The record is from RNAcentral. Lineage: Bacteria; Bacillati; Bacillota; Bacilli; Caryophanales; Bacillaceae.
UUCUUUUUGAAAGUCGGUUUCGGCUGACACUUACAGAUGAGCCCGCGGCGCAUUAGCUAGUUGGUGAGGUAACGGCUCACCAAGGCGACGAUGCGUAGCCGACCUGAGAGGGUGAUCGGCCACACUGGGACUGAGACACGGCCCAGACUCCUACGGGAGGCAGCAGUAGGGAAUCUUCGGCAAUGGGCGAAAGCCUGACCGAGCAACGCCGCGUGAGCGAUGAAGGCCUUCGGGUCGUAAAGCUCUGUUGUUAGAGAAGAACAAGUACGAGAGUAACUGCUCGUACCUUGACGGUACCUAACCAGAAAGCCACGGCUAACUACGUGCCAGCAGCCGCGGUAAUACGUAGGUGGCAAGCGUUAUCCGGAAUUAUUGGGCGUAAAGCGCGCGCAGGCGGUCUCUUAAGUCUGAUGUGAAAGCCCACGGCUCAACCGUGGAGGGUCAUUGGAAACUGGGAGACUUGAGUGCAGGAGAGAAAAGUGGAAUUCCACGUGUAGCGGUGAAAUGCGUAGAGAUGUGGAGGAACACCAGUGGCGAAGGCGGCUUUUUGGCCUGUAACUGACGCUGAGGCGCGAAAGCGUGGGGAGCAAACAGGAUUAGAUACCCUGGUAGUCCACGCCGUAAACGAUGAGUGCUAGGUGUUGGGGGGUUCCACCCUCAGUGCUGAAGUUAACACAUUAAGCACUCCGCCUGGGGAGUACGACCGCAAGGUUGAAACUCAAAGGAAUUGACGGGGGCCCGCACAAGCAGUGGAGCAUGUGGUUUAAUUCGAAGCAACGCGAAGAACCUUACCAGGUCUUGACAUCCUUUGACCACUCUAGAGAUAGAGCUUUCCCUUUCGGGGGACAAAGUGACAGGUGGUGCAUGGUUGUCGUCAGCUCGUGUCGUGAGAUGUUGGGUUAAGUCCCGCAACGAGCGCAACCCUUGACCUUAGUUGCCAGCAUUCAGUUGGGCACUCUAAGGUGACUGCCGGUGACAAACCGGAGGAAGGUGGGGACGACGUCAAAUCAUCAUGCCCCUUAUGACCUGGGCUACACACGUGCUACAAUGGAUGAUACAAAGGGUUGCGAAGCCGCGAGGCCAAGCCAAUCCCAAAAAGUCAUUCUCAGUUCGGAUUGUAGGCUGCAACUCGCCUACAUGAAGCCGGAAUUGCUAGUAAUCGCGGAUCAGCAUGCCGCGGUGAAUACGUUCCCGGGCCUUGUACACACCGCCCGUCACACCACGAGAGUUUGUAACACCCGAAGUCGGUGGGGUAACCCUUUUGG